AAGAUGGAUGAUCGCGGCUGCAGGUGUCGAAAGACCGCAGGUGAGGAAAGUCCGGGCUUCACAGGGCAGGAUGCCGGCUAACGGCCGGUGGAGGUGACUCCAAGGAUAGUGCAACAGAAAUAUACCGCCGGGAAACCGGUAAGGGUGGAAGGGUAGUGUAAGAGACUACCGCCUUUCCGGUAACGGAAAGGGCAUAUGUAAACCCCAUUCGAAGCAAGACCGAAACAAAGCGUUGACGUGGACCCGCCAGCUUUAGGUUGGUCGCUUGAGGUGAUUGGCAACAGUUACCCUAGAUAGAUGAUCAUCUGAAAAACAUAACCCGGCUUACAGUUUUACUUA
RNAcentral lists this RNase P RNA (339 nucleotides) under pig gut metagenome. RNAcentral describes it as "Bacterial RNase P class A". It matches the Rfam family "Bacterial RNase P class A". Rfam says of the family: Ribonuclease P (RNase P) is a ubiquitous endoribonuclease, found in archaea, bacteria and eukarya as well as chloroplasts and mitochondria. The record is from RNAcentral.